GCCGGGAUGGCGGAAACUGGUAACGCGCCAGAAAAAAUCUGGUUUCCUUCGGGAAGUUUGGGUUCAAAUCCCAAUCCCGGCG
This 82-nucleotide transfer RNA is filed under the name Candidatus Micrarchaeum acidiphilum ARMAN-2. Its description in RNAcentral is "tRNA-Phe". It matches the Rfam family "tRNA". From Rfam's summary of the family: Transfer RNA (tRNA) molecules are approximately 80 nucleotides in length. The record is from RNAcentral. Lineage: Archaea; Nanobdellati; Microcaldota; Candidatus Micrarchaeia; Candidatus Micrarchaeales; Candidatus Micrarchaeaceae.